Molecule: long non-coding RNA, 272 nt
Organism: Pongo pygmaeus (Bornean orangutan)
Lineage: Eukaryota; Metazoa; Chordata; Mammalia; Primates; Hominidae
Exons: 3
Source: RefSeq, a predicted model, not a curated record
GAAGACUUCGAAAGUUGCUAUUGAUUUCAGUUAAAUAGCAGUCUUCCAUACAUCAGGAACUAUGCCUCCAACACCUCCCCUCCUAAGCUAAAAGAAGCAGGAAUCUGUUAUUUGUCACUAGACUGGUGUGCCCCAACAGAAACCCAAAUGACACUCCUACUUAUGUACUAGAAAUGGAGGAAGCAGGAUCUGGUUUAGAUUUUAAGCCGAAAUACAAUGGAGAAGAGUUCUCAUGCACUAUAAGAAGUCUUCAGAGAAGUACUACAUACAAG